UACGUAGGCAGCGAGCGUUGUUCGGAGUUACUGGGCGUAAAGCGUGCGUAGGCGGUGGUCCAAGUCUGGUGUGAAAUCUCCCGGCUUAACUGGGAGGGUGCGCCGGAAACUGGGCCGCUGGAGUACGGGAGAGGCAAGCGGAAUUCCAGGUGUAGCGGUGAAAUGCGUAGAUAUCGAGAGGAACACCUGCGGCGAAGGCGGGUUGCUGGGCUGAUACUGACGCUGAGGCGCGAAAGCCAGGGGAGCGAACGGG
RNAcentral lists this ribosomal RNA (253 nucleotides) under uncultured bacterium. RNAcentral's name for it is "partial 16S ribosomal RNA". It matches the Rfam family "Bacterial small subunit ribosomal RNA", at positions 524 to 776 of the family's 1533-position model. The record is from RNAcentral.